Molecule: long non-coding RNA, 538 nt
Filed under: Homo sapiens (human)
Lineage: Eukaryota; Metazoa; Chordata; Mammalia; Primates; Hominidae
Description: HSALNT0395362
Source: RNAcentral
CUCCAUUGUGAUACCAACUCCCCAUUUUUGUCCCUGGAAACAACUUUAAAUUUGUUGGUUGUUUUGGGUCAGGUAAGUUAAUAUCUGAUAGCAUCUGUGAGACCUCAGUGGCCAGAGAGAAGCACCCAGAUGGCUCUUGUUGGCCUGGUUGUGUCCUGACAGGGUGGGUGACCGGGUUGUCCACGUGAUGUGAUGAUCGUGUCUUGGUUCUGUACCUGUUGGGCCAGGCAGCCUCAGCAAGUGUCCUGGGGAAUGUAUGCCCUGCAUCUGCCUGGGGGCCGGGGCAGUCACAGAGCAGUGGGGAUGAAGCAGCUGGCUCCAGGCCUCCCAGCUGCCACCACAGCCUCCAGGAGACCACCCCUUUCCCAUGCCAGGAGAUUCUAUUAAUGUCAUCCAUUCAGGUGCUGGGUGAGACCAAGCAGACCUGGCACUGAGACAUAUUUCCAAGUUCAAUGAGGUAUCUUCCAGUUCGAAUCCCACAACCUGUGCUAUUUAAAGGAAACUGACCUAUAAAAAGCAAAAUAAAAAUGUUCUGAAA